This 408-nucleotide ribosomal RNA is filed under the name uncultured Methylomirabilota bacterium. RNAcentral's name for it is "bacterial SSU rRNA". It matches the Rfam family "Bacterial small subunit ribosomal RNA", at positions 1027 to 1434 of the family's 1533-position model. The record is from RNAcentral. Lineage: Bacteria; Methylomirabilota (SeqCode).
CGUGGAGACAGGUGGUGCAUGGCUGUCGUCAGCUCGUGUCGUGAGAUGUUGGGUUAAGUCCCGCAACGAGCGCAACCCUCACCUCUUGUUGCCAUCAGGUCAUGCUGGGCACUCUAGAGGAACUGCCCCGGUCAACGGGGAGGAAGGCGGGGAUGACGUCAAGUCAUCAUGCCCCUUACGUCCUGGGCUACACACGUGCUACAAUGGCCAGUACAAUGGGAUGUGACGCCGCGAGGUAGAGCUAAACCCAAAAAGCCGGUCUAAGUUCAGAUUGGAGUCUGCAACUCGACUCCAUGAAGGAGGAAUCGCUAGUAAUCGCGUAUCAGCACGACGCGGUGAAUACGUUCCCGGGCCUUGUACACACCGCCCGUCACACCACGAAAGCCAGCUGUACUCGAAGUCGCUGAG